CUGUGUUUACACGGCGAGACCGCGGACGGCUCAUUAAAUCAGUCGUGGUCUACAUGGGCCAGUGCAAAUCCUACUUGGAUAACUGUGGUAAUUCCAGAGCUAAUACAUGCAACUGAUAUCCCGAAGGCUGGUGCUUGCUUGWCUUGCGCUUUGCUCUGACGGAUGCUUUUAUUAGACCAAGCCGCUGAGGACUCGAUGGCUCACGCCUUCUUGUUCGACUCGUGUGAUGGUGACUCUGGAUAACCAAUUCUGACAAGCGAACGUACUCCUCUUUGAGCGAGACGGCGCUGCCACUUUCGAGUGUCUGCCUUAUCAGCUAUCAACCGUUCGUUAUGCGCGACCGAUGGCUUUGACGGGUAACGGGGAAUCAGGGUUCGAUUCCGGAGAGGCAGCCUGAGAGACGGCUACCACGUCCAAGGACGGCAGCAGGCACGCAAAUUACCCAAUCCCAGCAAAUGGGGGAGGUAGUGACGAAAUCUAACGAUGCGGGCGCCCUUUCUGGGGCCCCGCAAUCGGAAUGGGCACUUUCUAAAACACCUGUUGAGAACCUACUGAAGGGCAAGUNNNNNNNNNNNNNNNNNNNNNNNNNNNCGGUUAAAAGGCUCGCAGUUGAAUGUCUGUAUCGAGCGCAGGUAGGUGGACGUU
RNAcentral lists this ribosomal RNA (645 nucleotides) under Pontogammarus abbreviatus. RNAcentral's name for it is "partial 18S ribosomal RNA". It matches the Rfam family "Eukaryotic small subunit ribosomal RNA", at positions 67 to 671 of the family's 1831-position model. Lineage: Eukaryota; Metazoa; Arthropoda; Malacostraca; Amphipoda; Pontogammaridae. The record is from RNAcentral.